RNAcentral lists this ribosomal RNA (325 nucleotides) under uncultured bacterium. Its description in RNAcentral is "bacterial SSU rRNA". It matches the Rfam family "Bacterial small subunit ribosomal RNA", at positions 32 to 332 of the family's 1533-position model. The record is from RNAcentral.
AAUCAACGCUGGCGGCGUGCCUCAGACAUGCAAGUCGAACGCGAAAGAGGGCUUCGGCCCUUGAGUAGAGUGGCGCACGGGUGAGUAACACGUGGGUAAUUUACCUUUGGGUGGGAAUAACAGUCGGAAACGGCUGCUAAUACCGCAUAAUGCAGCGGCUCCACAUGGAGACAGUUGUUAAAGCGGGGGAGCGAGCAAUCGCCCUCGCGCCUGAAGAGAACGCCCGCGGCAGAUUAGCUAGUUGGUGAGGUAAUGGCUCACCAAGGCUUCGAUCUGUAGCCGGCCUGAGGAGGGCGGUCGGCCACACUGACACUGAAUAACGGUC